RNAcentral lists this transfer RNA (73 nucleotides) under Clonostachys rosea. It matches the Rfam family "tRNA". From Rfam's summary of the family: Transfer RNA (tRNA) molecules are approximately 80 nucleotides in length. Their secondary structure includes four short double-helical elements and three loops (D, anti-codon, and T loops). The record is from RNAcentral. Lineage: Eukaryota; Fungi; Ascomycota; Sordariomycetes; Hypocreales; Bionectriaceae.
GCCCUACUGGCGCAAUGGCUAGCGCGUUGAACUUCUAAUUCAAAGGUUGCAAGUUCGAGUCUUGCGUGGGGCU